UAAGGAAUAUUGGUCAAUGGAGGGAACUCUGAACCAGCCAUGCCGCGUGCAGGAAGACGGCCCUCUGGGUUGUAAACUGCUUUUAUUCGGGAAUAAACCACAUUACGUGUAGUGUGCUGAAUGUACCGAAGGAAUAAGGAUCGGCUAACUCCGUGCCAGCAGCCGCGGUAAUACGGAGGAUCCAAGCGUUAUCCGGAUUUAUUGGGUUUAAAGGGUGCGUAGGCGGCUUAUUAAGUCAGCGGUGAAAGGUAGCAGCUUAACUGUUUUACAUGCCGUUGAUACUGGUUAGCUUGAGUUGACAGAAGGCAGAUAGAAUUCCUGGUGUAGCGGUGAAAUGCUUAGAUAUGUCACAGAACACCGAUUGCGAAGGCAGCUUACUAUGGUUUAAUUGACGCUGAGGCACGAAAGCGUGGGGAUCAAACA
Molecule: ribosomal RNA, 423 nt
Filed under: uncultured bacterium
Lineage: Bacteria
Description: bacterial SSU rRNA
Rfam family: Bacterial small subunit ribosomal RNA
Source: RNAcentral